This is a non-coding RNA of Bemisia tabaci, 560 nucleotides long. NCBI's taxonomy places the organism in Eukaryota, Metazoa, Arthropoda, Insecta, Hemiptera, Aleyrodidae. The record is from RefSeq and is a predicted model, not a curated record.
AACGAGGCGUGAAUCGUCAGGCUCAAUGAAGCUCUCGCAAACCAUACAGUAAUUCUCAGAAAUUUAUAUAUUUCUUGACUUCCUGCUUUCGCUACAUCACGCCAAAUCCGAGUUGAAUGCAAGGGCCUUGAACUGAAUCUAGAGCUUUCAUAAGAACACACCGAGACAUUUACCUGCCUUGUUCAGCUGCAGCAAUCGCCAUUUGUUUCCUAUCAUCUGGCAGUUCCUUUGAUCUUAUCGAACAGCCAUUCGCAGGGAAUUAGUGGCAACCUUUAAACCAUCUAGAUGCAAUUAAGCUUCCCAGACAGAAACCAAAAUCUACAGUUCAUAUUUCACUCUCUUGGCCUCUAAUUUGGAUAGUGUUGUGAUAAUUUUUGGUGCUGUUUUCCGUGCUUAUUGUGAAAUAAUUUGAAUAUGUUUUCACAUUGUCAACUGAAUGAAAUCUUAUUUGAAACGUUGAGCGUGCAAUAUGUGACGCGAAGGUACAGUGCGGUAGUUUCUCAAUUGUUAAAAGAAUUAUUACAUCUCUGUCAAGUAUAGUUGGUACUAUGUGUCUUCAA